UACGUGAGGGGCGAACGUUGUUCGGUGUCACUGGGCUUAAAGGGCGCGUAGGUGGUUGCGUAAGUAACGUGUGAAAUCCCUCGGCUUACCCGGGGAAUUGCGCGUUAUACUGCGUGACUUGAGGAUCUCAGGGGAAAGGGGAACUCUAGGUGUAGCGGUGAAAUGCGCAGAUAUCUAGGGGAAGGCCGGCGGCGAAGGCGCCUUUCUGGGAGAUUCCUGACACUGAGGCGCGAAAGCGUGGGGAGCAAAC
Molecule: ribosomal RNA, 250 nt
Filed under: uncultured bacterium
Lineage: Bacteria
Description: partial 16S ribosomal RNA
Rfam family: Bacterial small subunit ribosomal RNA
Source: RNAcentral